AUAAUGGGUCAGCGACUUAUAUUCUGUAGCAAGGUUAACCGAAUAGGGGAGCCGAAGGGAAACCGAGUCUUAACUGGGCGUUAAGUUGCAGGGUAUAGACCCGAAACCCGGUGAUCUAGCCAUGGGCAGGUUGAAGGUUGGGUAACACUAACUGGAGGACCGAACCGACUAAUGUUGAAAAAUUAGCGGAUGACUUGUGGCUGGGGGUGAAAGGCCAAUCAAACCGGGAGAUAGCUGGUUCUCCCCGAAAGCUAUUUAGGUAGCGCCUCGUGAAUUCAUCUCCGGGGGUAGAGCACUGUUUCGGCAAGGGGGUCAUCCCGACUUACCAACCCGAUGCAAACUGCGAAUACCGGAGAAUGUUAUCACGGGAGACACACGGCGGGUGCUAACGUCCGUCGUGAAGAGGGAAACAACCCAGACCGCCAGCUAAGGUCCCAAAGUCAUGGUUAAGUGGGAAACGAUGUGGGAAGGCCCAGACAGCCAGGAUGUUGGCUUAGAAGCAGCCAUCAUUUAAAGAAAGCGUAAUAGCUCACUGGUCGAGUCGGCCUGCGCGGAAGAUGUAACGGGGCUAAACCAUGCACCGAAGCUGCGGCAGCGACGCUGAUGCGUUGUUGGGUAGGGGAGCGUUCUGUAAGCCUGUGAAGGUGUGCUGUGAGGCAUGCUGGAGGUAUCAGAAGUGCGAAUGCUGACAUAAGUAACGAUAAAGCGGGUGAAAAGCCCGCUCGCCGGAAGACCAAGGGUUCCUGUCCAACGUUAAUCGGGGCAGGGUGAGUCGACCCCUAAGGCGAGGCCGAAAGGCGUAGUCGAUGGGAAAC
Molecule: ribosomal RNA, 815 nt
Filed under: Escherichia coli
Lineage: Bacteria; Pseudomonadati; Pseudomonadota; Gammaproteobacteria; Enterobacterales; Enterobacteriaceae
Description: partial 23S ribosomal RNA
Rfam family: Bacterial large subunit ribosomal RNA
Source: RNAcentral